AGAGUUUGAUCCUGGCUCAGGAUGAACGCCGGCGGUGUGCCUAAUACAUGCAAGUCGUACGCACUGGCCCAACUGAUUGAUGGUGCUUGCACCUGAUUGACGUUGGAUCACCAGUGAGUGGCGGACGGGUGAGUAACACGUAGGUAACCUGCCCCGGAGCGGGGGAUAACAUUUGGAAACAGAUGCUAAUACCGCAUAACAACAAAAGCCACAUGGCUUUUGUUUGAAAGAUGGCUUUGGCUAUCACUCUGGGAUGGACCUGCGGUGCAUUAGCUAGUUGGUAAGGUAACGGCUUACCAAGGCGAUGAUGCAUAGCCGAGUUGAGAGACUGAUCGGCCACAAUGGAACUGAGACACGGUCCAUACUCCUACGGGAGGCAGCAGUAGGGAAUCUUCCACAAUGGGCGCAAGCCUGAUGGAGCAACACCGCGUGAGUGAAGAAGGGUUUCGGCUCGUAAAGCUCUGUUGUUGGAGAAGAACGUGCGUGAGAGUAACUGUUCACGCAGUGACGGUAUCCAACCAGAAAGUCACGGCUAACUACGUGCCAGCAGCCGCGGUAAUACGUAGGUGGCAAGCGUUACCCGGAUUUAUUGGGCGUAAAGCGAGCGCAGGCGGUUGCUUAGGUCUGAUGUGAAAGCCUUCGGCUUAACCGAAGAAGUGCAUCGGAAACCGGGCGACUUGAGUGCAGAAGAGGACAGUGGAACUCCAUGUGUAGCGGUGGAAUGCGUAGAUAUAUGGAAGAACACCAGUGGCGAAGGCGGCUGUCUGGUCUGCAACUGACGCUGAGGCUCGAAAGCAUGGGUAGCGAACAGGAUUAGAUACCCUGGUAGUCCAUGCCGUAAACGAU
RNAcentral lists this ribosomal RNA (846 nucleotides) under uncultured bacterium. RNAcentral's name for it is "bacterial SSU rRNA". It matches the Rfam family "Bacterial small subunit ribosomal RNA", at positions 8 to 810 of the family's 1533-position model. The record is from RNAcentral.